GACGAACGCUGGCGGCGUGCCUAAUACAUGCAAGUAGAACGCUGAAGCGAGGAGCUUGCUCUUCUUGGAUGAGUUGCGAACGGGUGAGUAACGCGUAGGUAACCUGCCUUGUAGCGGGGGAUAACUAUUGGAAACGAUAGCUAAUACCGCAUAACAAUGGAUGACACAUGUCAUUUAUUUGAAAGGGGCAAUUGCUCCACUACAAGAUGGACCUGCGUUGUAUUAGCUAGUAGGUGAGGUAAUGGCUCACCUAGGCGACGAUACAUAGCCGACCUGAGAGGGUGAUCGGCCACACUGGGACUGAGACACGGCCCAGACUCCUACGGGAGGCAGCAGUAGGGAAUCUUCGGCAUGAGGGGCAACCCUGACCGAGCAACGCCGCGUGAGUGAAGAAGGUUGUCGGAUCGUAAAGCUCGGUUGUAAGUCAAGAACGGGUGUGAGAGUGGAAAGUUCACACUGUGACGGUAGCUUACCAGAAAGGGACGGCUAACUACGUG
Molecule: ribosomal RNA, 497 nt
Filed under: uncultured bacterium
Lineage: Bacteria
Description: partial 16S ribosomal RNA
Rfam family: Bacterial small subunit ribosomal RNA
Source: RNAcentral